Arachis duranensis is the source of this 799-nucleotide long non-coding RNA. RefSeq lists it as uncharacterized. The transcript is spliced from 4 exons. The record is from RefSeq and is a predicted model, not a curated record. Lineage: Eukaryota; Viridiplantae; Streptophyta; Magnoliopsida; Fabales; Fabaceae.
AAUUAUUUCUUUUUCUUUGCAGUGAAAUGAUUCAAUAGAAAACAUGCCCAAUGGAAUGCAGCUAAGAAGGAAGAAAAGAAAAUGGUUAAUUUAAAGGACAAGUGGAGAAACAUGAUGCGGAAGUGAUGCACAUGUGUAGAUCUAAGGGAGUAGGUUCUAACUUCUAUGGAUGCAACCAAGUUUUUUUAAAAGAGGGACCUAAGACCUAAGUACCAACUAUGCUGCCAAUACACUUCAGUUUUAUAUCUGGUUUUAAGAGCUCAUCCAAAGUUGCAAGCACUACUUUUCUACAUUGCUUCUAAAGAAGGAGAUAAGAUUUCGGAGCAAUUCACUAUAAUAUGUUCCUAAUCAACAAGCUUCACAGGAAGCUAGAGCUUUACUAGGAAGCCUUGAAUAUCAGUAGGGUAAUUUUGAAGCUGCACUUCAUGUAUUUGAAGGACUAGACAUUGCUGCUGUUGCUCUAAAGAUGAAAAUUUCUAUAUCACCUAUUCGUGCUGCACUUUAUUCUUUUUUAUGAUGUUUUUAAAUUAUAUUUUUGUUGUAGGAAUUGAAUCAAGAGAGUGAGAUUUCAUCGCCAAAAGAGUUAAGAAGUAGGUCUUCCGGCGCAAGCAAUAGAGCAGCAUGAAAUAUGAUGGAGAUUUUAUGUAUUAAGAGUUACAUGUUAUGACAUUUAUAGUUGAAAAAAUAUGUUAUGUUUGAUAUUUUGUAUAAGAGUUAUUACUUUUGAUUUUCAAUACUAAAAAAUCAUAUAUUAUGUUUAAUACUUUGUUUAUGAGUUAUAUAAUAUUUUGUUUAUAGA